RNAcentral lists this ribosomal RNA (251 nucleotides) under uncultured prokaryote. RNAcentral's name for it is "partial 16S ribosomal RNA". It matches the Rfam family "Bacterial small subunit ribosomal RNA", at positions 524 to 774 of the family's 1533-position model. The record is from RNAcentral.
UACGGAGGAUGCAAGCGUUAUCCGGAUUUAUUGGGUUUAAAGGGUGCGCAGGUUGUUUGAUAAGUCAGUGGUGAAAGUCUGUCGCUUAACGGUGGGAUUGCCAUUGAUACUGUUAGACUUGAAUAUGGAUGAGGUAGGCGGAAUGUGUAGUGUAGCGGUGAAAUGCAUAGAUAUUACACAGAACACCGAUUGCGAAGGCAGCUUACUAAUCCAUCAUUGACGCUGAGUCACGAAAGCGUGGGGAUCAAACA